Molecule: long non-coding RNA, 161 nt
Organism: Sapajus apella (tufted capuchin)
Lineage: Eukaryota; Metazoa; Chordata; Mammalia; Primates; Cebidae
Exons: 2
Source: RefSeq, a predicted model, not a curated record
GGGGCUGGUUGGGGGUGGGGGCUAGGGGAGAGAUAACAUUAGGAGAAAUACCUAAUGUAGAUGACGGGUUGAUGAGUACAGCAAACCGCCAGGGCACAUGUACACCUAUGUAACAAGCCUGCACAUUCUGCACAUGUAUCUCAGAACUUAAAGUACAAUAA